GUGGGGAAUAUUGGGCAAUGGGCGCAAGCCUGACCCAGCAACGCCGCGUGAGGGAAGAAGGUUUUCGGAUUGUAAACCUCUGUCGCAAGGGACGAAGAAGUGACGGUACCUUGUGAGGAAGCCCCGGCUAACUACGUGCCAGCAGCCGCGGUAAUACGUAGGGGGCGAGCGUUGUCCGGAAUUACUGGGCGUAAAGGGUGCGUAGGCGGCUAAUUAAGUUGGAUGUGAAAUACCCGGGCUUAACUUGGGGGGUGCAUUCAAAACUGGUUAGCUAGAGUGCAGGAGAGGGAAGCGGAAUUCCUAGUGUAGCGGUGAAAUGCGUAGAUAUUAGGAGGAACACCAGUGGCGAAGGCGGCUUUCUGGACUGACACUGACGCUGAUGCACGAAAGCGUGGGGAGCAAACAGGAUUAGAUACCCUGGUAGUCC
Molecule: ribosomal RNA, 427 nt
Filed under: uncultured bacterium
Lineage: Bacteria
Description: partial 16S ribosomal RNA
Rfam family: Bacterial small subunit ribosomal RNA
Source: RNAcentral